UUGGAAUGAAGUGAAAGACCCAUUGUGUUGAUUGUCUUCAUCAUUUCAACACUAAAUGGUAUAGUUUAGCUAUUUAGUUCCCUAUAUCGUAAAUCUGGUGUGUGUGUGUGUGUGUGUGUGUGUGAUGAUGGAUGAGGAAAUUUCAGCUUUAGGAAUCUCAGCUAAGAUUCCACGUCCUAA
This is a non-coding RNA of Pelobates cultripes (western spadefoot toad), 180 nucleotides long. The record is from the annotation of a GenBank genome assembly. Lineage: Eukaryota; Metazoa; Chordata; Amphibia; Anura; Pelobatidae.